This is a microRNA precursor of Macaca fascicularis (crab-eating macaque), 50 nucleotides long. NCBI's taxonomy places the organism in Eukaryota, Metazoa, Chordata, Mammalia, Primates, Cercopithecidae. The record is from Ensembl.
UAGGAAAAGGAGUGGACAGAGGACAUUCCCCUGUCGCUUCUUUUUCUUCU